Molecule: RNA transcript, 4455 nt
Organism: Chelonia mydas (Green sea turtle)
Lineage: Eukaryota; Metazoa; Chordata; Testudines; Cheloniidae
Gene: MRPL27
Gene name: mitochondrial ribosomal protein L27
Exons: 5
Source: RefSeq, a predicted model, not a curated record
AUUGAAACCGGCCGCCUCCGCCUUCUCUCCGUCUUUGACCGGAAAUCUUGCGCCGGAAGCGGAAGCCGCUCCCCCGGAAGCGGAAGUGGUGGUGCAGGAGGAUGGCGGAGCUGGGGCGGCUGCGGGGCUUGGUGGCGGUGAACAGGCUGCUUCUGGCUGCCCCGCAGGUGACUGCGGUUGUGGUGCGAUGUGCAUCCAAGAAGAGUGGGGGCAGCUCAAAAAAUCUUGGUGGCCACAGUCCCGGCAAACGCUAUGGCUAUAAGAAAACAGAAGGUUCCUUUGUUCAUGCAGGCAAUACAUUAGCCACCCAACGGAUGAUACGCUGGCAUCCAGGGGCUCAUGUGGGGAUGGGUUGUAACAAGACUCUCUAUGCUCUGGAGGAUGGGAUUGUGCGGUUCACCAAGGAGGUCUAUGUGCCACCACCCCGCAGCCAAGAGAGCAGGGAAGUGAUCUGUCGUCUACCAAAAGGAGUGGUGCUUUACAAAACGUUCAUCAACGUUGUCCCCACCGAAGAAGUGGGGAGCUUCAAGCUAGUCACCAUGCUUUGAGGCUCUGCUGCCUCAUGCAGUAAUGACUGAUCACCUUGACAGAUGUGGUACUCAAUCAAAAAGAUGUCUGGAGGACUCCUCUAGCUCUGAAAUGACUUGUUGGCGACUCCAGUUUCCUGCUCCUGGAACUCACUGGAUGUAAAUUUGAGAGUUACAAGGUCAGGAUUCCCGCUGGUACCUGAUAAGGUAAAUGUUUUAACAUAAGAAGUAGAUAAGAUAAAGCGUUUGAGGACGAGAGGCCUAGCUUCUGAGAUUUAAUUGAGUGUGUGACAGUAGCUGCUGCAGCCUCACAGAGGUGUAUGUUACAGUGAAACAGCUCCCUGCCUUUGCUCCAGAGACAGUCCUUGGCUGAGUGGACCAUCACCUUUGCUCUGCCCCCUCAAAUACAACAGAAAUGGCUGAGGAUUAUUCCAUGGUCUUUGGUUAAGAUAAGGUUACUAGAGUGAAAAUGGUAGAGCAGAAAUCCCCUCAGGUUUAGUUCACUGUUUCUGGGAGAGAGAUGGCUGCUAAAUCGAUCCUGGUAUUCACUCCACCUUCGUUCUUGUAGGGGAGUGAGUUGAUGGAAAUGUCCACUGCUUUGCCUGUGAUUUGCACAAGUGGUUCUCAGCUGCUUGUGUGACUGAACGAAGGCAUGAAGUUCCACUCUGCCCCUCCGGAAGGGAGAGACAUCACAGGCCCUGCUGUCCUUGCCACAGAAGGAAGGAGAGGUGUUCCAGGGUUGAUUCCUGUUCUACACAGCUGUGUUCCUUUGAGUUUGGUAGCUGAUGGAAGCCUGGAAUGUGUCCAGCAAUCUGUGUCCAUCUGGUAACUCUGACCCUGCUCCAGUUCCUGGGAGGGCUGGAGGAUGCCUCAGGGCUUGCUCAUAGGGAGGUGGCAGCUAUUUGAGAGGAAAGAGGAAUCCAUUAUUACACUGAUUAGAAACACAGUGGCAAAGAUUACUCCAUGUUAUAGAACAGGUUUACGUGAGUUCUUUCACACCAUUGCCACAGCUCUGAAAUUAAAUACUCUGGGCCAUCCAUUAAACUCUUCGUAGAACAGCAGCACUUUUCACGUUGCCAACUAGAUAAGUGUGCAGGAGGAGAUUAUAGGCCAACUGCAGUCUCUAAGGAGAGUUAUGGUGGAAAUCCAAUGCAGCUAUUACAGCCCAUCCCACCCACUCCUACGGCCUGUCUCCUCAUCCCCAGCUAUGGCGUUUGCUGGUAAGUUCAGGGAUCUGUCAGCGUUCCCCUUAAAAACCUUUUCUCAGGAAACCUUCCCUGUGAAACUAUUAAUUUCCUGUUAAAAUAAGAUUAGCCACUACAUAUUCCCCUCCCCCACCUAUAUAUUUCUGGGCAGAAAAUGCCAGCUGUUGCUUAUAUUUAUAAGUAUAAGCCAGAGCUGACUACUCAGGUUUUCAAACACCCCUCACUGUGGUAUCUAUGGCCCAUAUCCUCCAAGGUAUUUAGGCCCCUAGCUCCUGCUGAAAUCAGGAGGCGUUAGGAGCCUAAAUAUCUGUGAGGAUCUGGGCUUGAGUGUUUAAAACAUCCUCACUUCUGCACAGAAAAUCAGUCUGAGGCAAGGUGCGUGGUAAAGAGCUAGGAGCCGGAACUCCCGCUCUACCCCCAUCUCCCUCUGAGACAAGGCCCUUACCUUCUCUGUGCCUCAGGUUCUCUGCCUCACAAGGUGCUAGGAGGUUUAGUAAGUGCAUGUAACGCACUCUGCGCAUGAAACCUGCCCUUGGGAGGCAGGGCUAAAUGUUGUUAUAGGGUCAACUGCACUGAUUCUUUUUUGGAGACAGUCUUAAUGGCUCAACCUUUAAAGGAAGGAAGUCAGCAGAGGAAUCCCACUGUAUUAUAAGAGUCUCAGAUUUCCAGUCUGCCCCAGUCAACACUGGGUGUGGCAAGACUGAACCGAUGCCAUUUGGUACAGCAGACUUAUCCCGCCUGGGGUGCUGCCCCAGGGCUGACCUCACCUGGAUGUGGACACUUCAGACAGAACACCUGCUUUUCACUAGUCUACUGAGCGGGAGGCUUAAGGGUUGGAAGGUGAGCAACAGGCAAAGCCUCACAAUCCAAUAACUUAUGAACAAGCCCAGGCAGGGGAAAAAGACAUUCAACAGUAGCAGCAGCGAGGAGGGCUGCCAGCAUAAGGAGAGGGAGAAAGGAAGACUUGGAAUCCUGUUAGAUCCCGAAGUCACAUUCCCAUCUUCAAACAGAUGGUUCAGACCAGCAGCCCUGUCCCCUCUCCUAGUGCUCUGCAGAUGCACUUGGGAGGGAUCAAUCAUUAACCUGUAGAAAUGUAACCACAGGGAAUUUCCUGGAACCCAGGUGUGCCUUUCCCAGAGAGAAAUGCUAUCAGAGAAAGGCAACCUCAGAGAGAGAACAGAGUCCUCUGCUACUGCACGGCAGAGUGCUGGGGGAAGGCCUACAGGCAAACAGGAUGGCACCGCUGCUGUGCUUCUAGACAGUUGGAGGCAGGAUUUUGGCAGCUGAAGCAGCCUUCCACUCACCUCCGGGGAGGGGUCUACCCACAGUCCAAACCUCUCGGCAAUCAGCUGAUGGAUCUCCCGCUGCCGAUCCUUCUUCCGCACGCUCUCGUAGCUUGGCAAGCGCAGCUGCUCCCAUGGAGGGAGCUGAUAGCUGCUGGGGGGCCCAACGCAGAAUAGUUCAUCUCCCUAGAAAUACCCAAUGCCGCCAAGCAUGGAAACAGGUCAUAUGACUGUCUGAGUCCGUCAGCACCCCUAGUCUGCUGGGAACUCCAUGGCCCAGCAUGCCUCAGCCCAGGAAUUCUGUUCAGGAUGCCAACGCUUAGAGUACCCCCACAGAGACAGCUGUCUGGGGAGCCCUGUUUCUAACGCACCCACACCAGCACCCCAUGAUGAUGGUGCCCCAGAGUUCUCACUGCAACCCCAGGCCUGCAGCACCCACACCAAGGAGAUUCUGUCUGGAGCUUCAUGCCCAAAUCAUUUUUGUAAUAGGACAAUUCUCUCUGGCAUCCUGCACCCACGUCUAAGGGGAUUUUAUCCAGAUCCUACACCCAGGAAUUGCCCCACACCCAAAUACCCUCCCCUGCACCCCAAGAUUCCCCCGGCCUCCAUACCCAAAGCAUCUUCCACUAUAUGACAUGAUCUCUUUGCAGCCCGGUUGUAAUAACUGGGCCUAGGAAUUUACCCUAAUUGUAAAUUCAAGUGUAAGAAGUUAGUAAAGUGCAUAAAAUAUCACAAUAACCCAUAAGAGUUGCUGGGAAAAGGUGCAAAAGGGAAACAGGCUGAAUUGGUACAAACAAAAAGGCCUACAAGGACCGUGUUAAGAUCAUGCCUGGCACACAAGAAGGGUGUGGAACUGGAAAUCAAGGAGCCAAAAUUGGUGUGUUGGAAAUUAGGCCUAAUUGCUGAAUAAUGAGAGGAUAGACUAUUCUGCCCAUCACUCCCUUUUGGGGUCCUUAAAAGACAAAGACUUUGGGAGGGAAAUCAGAAGCUGUCUGCUGACGACUGUUGGCUGGAGGAUGGGUGGACAGGAAGUGAGCUUUACCAUCACGCUGCAACCUUCACCUUCUCCUGGGACUCCAGGAUCCACCAUUACACCAUUGGGCCUGCCUUGUCCGGACCCUGAAAACUGUCCUGAUGUGAGAGGGACCCGGAUGACUGCCUUUUCUAGCUUUGUUAGGUUUUUCCUCCCCCCUCUGGUGUGUGUUUAUCUUGUGUCUUUCAGGAAAAUGGGAUCAGACUUUAACAGCUCCAGUUAUGAUCAUCGUUCAUACCACCUCAAAGGCUAUCAUAAAUAGGAGGGGGUCCUUCCAAAAGCUGUCUGUGGCUAACGGGAAAGGGAACAAGGGGUGUUGUUAAAAUGGAAGCCUCGCUUAGUUCUUUACAUUGCAAAUGUUGUCACCAUUUUUCCUUUUCUGUAUCUUUAAUAAAGGGUUAAAAAGA